Molecule: ribosomal RNA, 460 nt
Filed under: uncultured bacterium
Lineage: Bacteria
Description: partial 16S ribosomal RNA
Rfam family: Bacterial small subunit ribosomal RNA
Source: RNAcentral
CCUACGGGUGGCAGCAGUGAGGAAUAUUGGUCAAUGGACGAGAGUCUGAACCAGCCAAGUAGCGUGAAGGAUGACUGCCCUAUGGGUUGUAAACUUCUUUUAUAUGGGAAUAAAAUGUUCCACGUGUGGGAUUUUGUAUGUCCCAUAUGAAUAAGGAUCGGCUAACUCCGUGCCAGCAGCCGCGGUAAUACGGAGGAUCCGAGCGUUAUCCGGAUUUAUUGGGUUUAAAGGGAGCGUAGGUGGAUUGUUAAGUCAGUUGUGAAAGUGUGCGGCUCAACCGUAAAAUUGCAGUUGAAACUGGCAGUCUUGAGUACAGUAGAGGUGGGCGGAAUUCGUGGUGUAGCGGUGAAAUGCUUAGAUAUCACGAAGAACUCCGAUUGCGAAGGCAGUUCACUGGACUGCAACUGACACUGAGGCUCGAAAGUGUGGGUAUCAAACAGGAUUAGAUACCCUUGUAGUC